CUCUGAUCUAAGAUCGCCUUAUGCUGUUCUCUCAUGCAUACGCUCGUUUGUCUCGCGCAAACGUGUACCAGCGACAGAAUAAAUCAAGCCAGGCUCUUGCCAGACUACGAGUGAGAUAACCAAAUAAGUUCGUGAGCUUUAUCGCGAAUCCCGGACAAAUCGUUGAAAUUUGGCACGACCGGAGGCAGCGGCCGCGAUCGUGAGUGGAUACGAGAAGCUAAAUGGAGCGGUAAAAGUGACCAGCGUCGGCCGAUAGCGUGCGUCCGCGCGUAAGCACGUAAUGGCUUCGAGAAUGGAACGAGGAGAAGGAAGAGGAACGGGUCGUUAAUAGCAAGACUGAGUGUAGGCCGCACGCAACGGCGAACAGGUCGUUCUCUGGAUACCGCAAAUUGCUUUGUUAUAUCUAUGUACGUAUGUAUGUAUGUAUACAUAUAUGUCUGUUCAUAAGUAUUAAGACGUUUAUAAAAGGUUAAAUUGUGUAAUAAAAUGAACGAUUACUAGGGAAUUAUUAAAGUCUUUAACAAAUCUCAUUUGAAAUCCUACGCUUUAAAGAACUCAUGCACUCAAUAUUAUAAUAACACCAGUUACGUACAAUUCGAUUAAAUUCCUUUUUUACCUAUCUUUGUCGUGUCUUUCUUUAAGGGUUUCAGCCAAUCUCGGCAUUCGUGUCUAUCGAGAUAUGUAUAAUUUUAUGUGCUAGACUAGAUUGACCGUGUAGUAGUGAUUCAUGUAUGUGAAUACGAGUGUAUGGAAGUAUGCGUGUGCGCGGCGCCUCGAAAACAAAGGAAUGCAAACUGUUCAGUUAACAGUGUGGUAUGGAAGAAGGUGAGACGCGUGCAAGUGAGUAUCGAUGAAUAUCUUUGAAAUCGUUUAUCAAAUAAAUGUAUAACUAUUGUAAUAUAAAUUCUAAGUGUAAAUUUAGUGCUCCUAUACCAUUAUUUCGGCAAUUAAGAUCCAAAAUUCUCAACAGUAUCACUGGUCUUCUUACCGUAUUUGUCGCUUUUUGAUCCGACGAAUUCCGUAAAUGAUUUUACAUAUUUGGUUUCCUGAUAGACUAGAUCAAUUAUUGCGUUCUUUACGAGACCAGUUGAUGUCCUGUUGUGUAUUUACGAACGGGAAUUUAUACGUGUGAUACCGCAAUGAAAACCAUAACUUGGUUAAAUGUACUGAUAUUCAACAUCGAAUAACGAAUGAAAUAAUACUCGAGUUUUAUCUGGCUGUGACAAAUUGACCCCUGACCAGGGAUGGUAAUACGAGCCUCGUUAACGGACGAAAAAAGACGAAUAUUCCAUGGAAAUGCUUGAAUAUAUGCAUGAAGGAUCAUAGGGAGGACGACGAGACGAAGAUUUUUUCCCUGAUAAUCGAGAAACGCUCGAGGAAAUAGUAUAAACGCAGCCGGCCAAGACGAAAAGGAAGGGAGAAAAAGGGAACGAGUGGAAACGGUUGGUUGGUGGAGAAAGAGAAGAAAGGGAAGACCAGGCAACAAAGGCCGCGGAAUGGCUAGGAAAGUGUAUGUAGACGGCAGGGCGGAAAGAAGAAUGGUGCACGAAAACGACGGCAGGAUGAAUGUCCUUGUGGUCGAGCUGCGAUGGUACAGUCAUUAGAAUGUAUUGUGGCUCAACGGUUUGACACGCUCCCUUUUGCGACGCGCCGCUCCACAUACCUCCGGUUCUCGUUCUCCAGAAAGUUUAUCUCCGCCAAGGCCUUUUCACUUUUACGUAUUGGCAGAUGCACAGAAUUGCGCUCCUCCUGCAUAUAAACCGGUCAUUCUAAUAUACUAAAUAAUAGGUAGUAGAGCGCUAUACUUUUUUUGAUCUUUUGUGGACCGUGGUUCGGUCAGCUCUGCUGUAGAGUGGUGAGAAUGCGUAGAUAGUAAAGGCACUCGUGGAUAGCAGAGACAGACUAUCAGACUAUUUUCUAAAUUUGAUAGCUAUUAUAAGUUAUUAUAAUCUUGGGUUAUAAUAUAGCGGAAUCGUAGAAUUAAUGGAGGGUAAAAUUAGUUGCUUAACAAUG
Long non-coding RNA from Bombus impatiens (common eastern bumble bee), 2013 nucleotides. RefSeq lists it as uncharacterized. The transcript is spliced from 3 exons. NCBI's taxonomy places the organism in Eukaryota, Metazoa, Arthropoda, Insecta, Hymenoptera, Apidae. The record is from RefSeq and is a predicted model, not a curated record.